CACAUGUGACGUAGUUUGAUCCUGGCUCAGAACGAACGCUGGCGGCAGGCUUAACACAUGCAAGUCGAGCGCCCCGCAAGGGGAGCGGCAGACGGGUGAGUAACGCGUGGGAAUCUACCUAGUUCUACGGAACAACUCAGGGAAACUUGAGCUAAUACCGUAUACGCCCUUCGGGGGAAAGAUUUAUCGGAAUUAGAUGAGCCCGCGUUGGAUUAGCUAGUUGGUGAGGUAAUGGCUCACCAAGGCGACGAUCCAUAGCUGGUCUGAGAGGAUGAUCAGCCACACUGGGACUGAGACACGGCCCAGACUCCUACGGGAGGCAGCAGUGGGGAAUAUUGGACAAUGGGCGCAAGCCUGAUCCAGCCAUGCCGCGUGAGUGAUGACGGCCUUAGGGUUGUAAAGCUCUUUCAACGGUGAAGAUAAUGACGGUAACCGUAGAAGAAGCCCCGGCUAACUUCGUG
Molecule: ribosomal RNA, 461 nt
Filed under: uncultured bacterium
Lineage: Bacteria
Description: bacterial SSU rRNA
Rfam family: Bacterial small subunit ribosomal RNA
Source: RNAcentral